UAUUGCACAAUGGGUGAAACCCUGAUGCAGCAACGCCGCGUGAGUGAAGAAGUAUUUCGGUAUGUAAAGCCCUAUCAGCAGGGAAGAAGAGAGACGGUACCUGACUAAGAAGCCCCGGCGAACUACGUGCCAGCAGCCGCGGUAAUACGUAGGGGGCAAGCGUUAUCCGGAUUUACUGGGUGUAAAGGGAGCGUAGACGGCUUGAUAAGUCUGAAGUGAAAGGCCAAGGCUCAACCAUGGAACUGCUUUGGAAACUAUGAGGCUAGAGUGCUGGAGAGGUAAGCGGAAUUCCUAGUGUAGCGGUGAAAUGCGUAGAUAUUAGGAGGAACACCAGUGGCGAAGGCGGCUUACUGGACAGAAACUGACGUUGAGGCUCGAAAGCGUGGGGAGCAAACAGG
This 398-nucleotide ribosomal RNA is filed under the name uncultured bacterium. Its description in RNAcentral is "bacterial SSU rRNA". It matches the Rfam family "Bacterial small subunit ribosomal RNA", at positions 362 to 776 of the family's 1533-position model. The record is from RNAcentral.